RNAcentral lists this ribosomal RNA (497 nucleotides) under uncultured bacterium. RNAcentral describes it as "partial 16S ribosomal RNA". It matches the Rfam family "Bacterial small subunit ribosomal RNA", at positions 28 to 507 of the family's 1533-position model. The record is from RNAcentral.
GAUGAACGCUGGCGGCGUGCCUAAUACAUGCAAGUCGAGCGAACGGACGAGAAGCUUGCUUCUCUGAUGUUAGCGGCGGACGGGUGAGUAACACGUGGAUAACCUACCUAUAAGACUGGGAUAACUUCGGGAAACCGGAGCUAAUACCGGAUAAUAUUUUGAACCGCAUGGUUCAAAAGUGAAAGACGGUCUUGCUGUCACUUAUAGAUGGAUCCGCGCUGCAUUAGCUAGUUGGUGAGGUAACGGCUUACCAAGGCAACGAUGCAUAGCCGACCUGAGAGGGUGAUAGGCCACACUGGAACUGAGACACGGUCCAUACUCCUGCGGGAGGCAGCAGUAGGGAAUCUUCCGCAAUGGGCGAAAGCCUGACGGAGCAACGCCGCGUGAGUGAUGAAGGUCUUCGGGUCGUAAAACUCUGUUAUUAGGGAAGAACAGAUGUGUAAGUAACUGUGCACAUCUUGACGGUACCUAAUCAGAAAGCCACGGCUAACUACGUG